UACGGAGGGCGCGAGCGUUACCCGGAUUUACUGGGCGUAAAGGGCGUGUAGGCGGCCUGGGGCGUCCCAUGUGAAAGGCCACGGCUCAACUGUGGAGGAGCGUGGGAUACGCUCAGGCUAGACGGUGGGAGAGGGUGGUGGAAUUCCCGGAGUAGCGGUGAAAUGCGCAGAUACCGGGAGGAACGCCGAUGGCGAAGGCAGCCACCUGGCUCACAUGUGACGAUGAGGCGCGAAAGCGUGGGGAGCAAACCGG
This 253-nucleotide ribosomal RNA is filed under the name uncultured bacterium. Its description in RNAcentral is "partial 16S ribosomal RNA". It matches the Rfam family "Bacterial small subunit ribosomal RNA", at positions 524 to 776 of the family's 1533-position model. The record is from RNAcentral.